GACGAACGCUGGCGGCGCGCUUAACACAUGCAAGUCGAGCGAGAACCAGGGCUUCGGCCCUGGGGACAGCGGCGAACGGGUGAGUAACACGUGGAUAACCUGCCCUCGGCACCGGGAUAGCCCGGGGAAACCCGGAUUAAUACCGGAUGGCCCUUCCGGCUCACGAGCCGGUCGGCAAAGGGAGCUUCGGCCUCCGGUCGAGGAUGGGCACGCGGCGGAUUAGCUUGUUGGUGGGGUAACGGCCCACCAAGGCUCCGAUCCGUAGCUGGUCUGAGAGGACGAUCAGCCACACUGGGACUGAGACACGGCCCAGACUCCUACGGGAGGCAGCAGUGGGGAAUCUUGCGCAAUGGGCGAAAGCCUGACGCAGCGACGCCGCGUGAGGGAGGAAGGCCUUCGGGUUGUAAACCUCUUUCAGGAGGGACGAAGCUACUCGGGUGAAUAGCUCAGAGGGUGACGGUACCUCCAGAAGAAGCCCCGGCUAACUACGUGCCAGCCGCCGCGGUAA
This 508-nucleotide ribosomal RNA is filed under the name uncultured bacterium. RNAcentral describes it as "partial 16S ribosomal RNA". It matches the Rfam family "Bacterial small subunit ribosomal RNA", at positions 28 to 523 of the family's 1533-position model. The record is from RNAcentral.